AGACAACUAGGAUGUUGGCUUAGAAGCAGCCAUACAUUUAAAGAGUGCGUAAUAGCUCACUAGUCGAGAAAACCUGCGCCGAAAAUGUAACGGGGCUAAAACACGACACCGAAGCUACGGAUUCCUUACAAAGUAAGGAGUGGUAGAGGAGCAUCCUGCAAGGACGAAGCCAAAGUGAGAGCGAUGGUGGACGAAACAGGAGAGAGAAUGCCGGAAUGAGUAGCGAGAUACAUGUGAGAAACAUGUAGGCCGAAUAUCUAAGGAUUCCUGGGUAAAGCUAAUCUUCCCAGGGUUAGUCGGGGCCUAAGGCGAGGACGAAAGUCGUAGUCGAUGGAUAACAGGUUGAUAUUCCUGUACUACACAUAAUCAGAACUGUGGGGACGCAGAAGGAUAGGGAAACCGGGGAAUGGAAAGACCCGGUCAAGCGUAAAGCUGUGGGAGAUAGGCAAAUCCGUCUUCUGUAAGUGAAACGUGAUGAGGACUGAAAAAAAGUAAGGAAGUUUCCGAAUCCACACUGCCGAGAAAAGCCGCUAUUGCGUUAUGUGUACCCGUACCGUAAACCGACACAGGUAGAUGAGGAGAAAAUCCACAGGCCGACGGGAGAAGUGUUGUUAAGGAACUCGGCAAAAUGACCCCGUAACUUCGGGAUAAGGGGAGCCUCGCAAGAGGCCGCAGAAAAGAGGCACAAGCAACUGUUUAGCAAAAACAUAGGUCUAUGCGAAACCGUAAGGUGAAGUAUAUGGGCUGACACCUGCCCGGUGCUGGAAGGUUAAAAGGAGAGGUCAGCGCAAGCGAAGCUUUGAAUUCAAGCCCCAGUAAACGGCGGCCGUAACUAUAACGGUCCUAAGGUAGCGAAAUUCCUUGUCAGGUAAGUUCUGACCCGCACGAAAGGCGUAAUGAUUUGUGCACUGUCUCGACAACACGCCCGGUGAAAUUGAAGAACCAGUGAAGAUACUGGUUACCCGCAACAGGACGGAAAGACCCCAUGGAGCUUUACUGCAGCCUGAUACUGGGAUUCGAUGAUAUAUGUACAGGAUAGGUGGGAGGCUAAGAAGCGAGAACGCUAGUUUUCGUGGAGCCGCCGGUGGGAUACCACUCUUAUGUCAUUGAAUUUCUAACCUGCAUCCGUAAUCCGGGUGAGGGACAAUGUCAGGCGGGCAGUUUGACUGGGGCGGUCGCCUCCUAAAAGGUAACGGAGGCGCUCGAAGGUCACCUCAGAAUGAUUGGAAACCAUUCAAAGAGUGUAAAGGCAAAAGGUGGCUUGACUGCGAGAGCGACGGCUCGAGCAGGUACGAAAGUAGGACUUAGUGAUCCGGUGGUAAUAAGUGGGAAUGCCAUCGCUCAACGGAUAAAAGCUACCCUGGGGAUAACAGGCUUAUCUCCCCCAAGAGUUCACAUCGACGGGGAGGUUUGGCACCUCGAUGUCGGCUCAUCGCAUCCUGGGGCUGAAGUAGGUCCCAAGGGUUGGGCUGUUCGCCCAUUAAAGCGGUACGCGAGCUGGGUUCAGAACGUCGUGAGACAGUUCGGUCCCUAUCCGUUGUGGGCGCAGGAAAUUUGAGAGGAGCUGUCCUUAGUACGAGAGGACCGGGA
RNAcentral lists this ribosomal RNA (1590 nucleotides) under gut metagenome. Its description in RNAcentral is "bacterial LSU rRNA". It matches the Rfam family "Bacterial large subunit ribosomal RNA", at positions 1087 to 2697 of the family's 2925-position model. The record is from RNAcentral.